Molecule: long non-coding RNA, 731 nt
Filed under: Malus domestica (apple)
Lineage: Eukaryota; Viridiplantae; Streptophyta; Magnoliopsida; Rosales; Rosaceae
Description: long non-coding RNA (MDOM_LNC007116)
Source: RNAcentral
AACAUCUCAAGACUCUGACAAUCAUAAAGUACAAAGGUUUCGAGAGAUUUCAUAUGAAUGUUGCUUGGAAGACUCUUAAGUUUUUGGCAAUCUGAUAGGUUCAAAUGAAUCAACCCCGUGAAAUUAUUAAUUGACAUGGGCAGUUGUUUAAUUUUUGACCCGGAUAAAUUAAGCUCUUCUAACCCCUCAAUACCAUCUGAAAUCAAUGGAAACAUCUCAAGACUGGAGCAGCCACAAACAUUAAAGGUUUUCAGACAUUUCAAAUGAAUGCAACUUGGAAGACUCUCAAGUUCCUUGCAAUCUUUUAGGUUGAAAUGACUCAACCCCGUGAGAUUAUUAAUUGACUCGGGCAGUUCUUUAAUUUUGGACUCGGAUAAAUUAAGCUCUUCUAACUCCUCCAUACCUUCUGAAAUCUCUGGAAACAUCUCAAAAUUGGAGCAGCCAAAAAGAUUAAAGGUUUUGAGAGAUCUCAUACGAAUUUUAUUGGGUAGAAUCUUAAGUUCCUUGCAAUAUGAUAGGUUCAAAUGACUCAACCCCGUGAGAUUAUUAAUUGACUCAGGCAGUUCUUUAAUUUUGGACUCGGAUAAAUUAAGCUCUUGUAACUCCUCCAUACCUUCUGAAAUCUCUGGAAACAUCUCAAGACUGGAGCAUCCAUAAAGAUUAAAGGUUUUCAGACAUUUCAUAUGAAUGCAGCUUGGAAGACUCUUAAGUUCCUUGCAAUCUCUUAGGUU